GUUUGUGGUAAAGUAGGUAGAAUGUGUGGUUUGGGGUAAAGAAGGUAGAAUGUGUGGUUUGGGGUAAAGAAGGUAGAAUGUGUGGUUUGUGGUAAAGUAGGUAGAAUUUGUGGUUUGGGGUAAAGAAGGUAGAAUGUGUGGUUUGUGGUAAAGUAGGUAGAAUGUGUGGUUCGGGGUAAAGAAGGUAGAAUGCGUGGUUUGGGGUAAAGAAGGUAGAAUGUGUGGUUUGUGGUAAAGUUGAUAGAAUGUGCGGUUUGGGGUAAAGAAGGUAGAAUGUGUGGUUUGGGGUAAAGAAGGUUGAAUGUGUGGUUUGGGGAAAAGUAGGUAGAAUGUGUGGUUUGGGUUAAAGUAGGUGAAUGUGUGGUUUCGGUUAAAGUAGGUAGAAUGUGUGGUUUGGGGUAAAGAAGGUUGAAUGUGUGGUUUGG
This 425-nucleotide long non-coding RNA is filed under the name Salmo salar (Atlantic salmon). RNAcentral's name for it is "lncRNA (ENSSSAG00000081809.1)". Lineage: Eukaryota; Metazoa; Chordata; Actinopteri; Salmoniformes; Salmonidae. The record is from RNAcentral.